RNAcentral lists this ribosomal RNA (253 nucleotides) under uncultured bacterium. RNAcentral describes it as "partial 16S ribosomal RNA". It matches the Rfam family "Bacterial small subunit ribosomal RNA", at positions 524 to 776 of the family's 1533-position model. The record is from RNAcentral.
UACGGAGGGAGCUAGCGUUGUUCGGAAUUACUGGGCGUAAAGCGCACGUAGGCGGCUUUGUAAGUUAGAGGUGAAAGCCCGGAGCUCAACUCCGGAACUGCCUUUAAGACUGCAUCGCUAGAAUUGUGGAGAGGUAAGUGGAAUUCCGAGUGUAGAGGUGAAAUUCGUAGAUAUUCGGAAGAACACCAGUGGCGAAGGCGACUUACUGGACACAUAUUGACGCUGAGGUGCGAAAGCGUGGGGAGCAAACAGG